This 427-nucleotide ribosomal RNA is filed under the name uncultured prokaryote. RNAcentral's name for it is "bacterial SSU rRNA". It matches the Rfam family "Bacterial small subunit ribosomal RNA", at positions 355 to 774 of the family's 1533-position model. The record is from RNAcentral.
UGGGGAAUUUUGGACAAUGGACGAAAGCCUGAUCCAGCCAUUCCGCGUGCAGGAUGAAGGCCCUCGGGUUGUAAACUGCUUUUGUACGGAACGAAACGGCGAGCUCUAAUACAGUUUGCUAAUGACGGUACCGUAAGAAUAAGCACCGGCUAACUACGUGCCAGCAGCCGCGGUAAUACGUAGGGUGCAAGCGUAAAUCGGGAUUACUGGGCGUAAAGCGUGCGCAGGCGGUCAUAUAAGACAGAUGUGAAAUCCCCUGGCUCAACCUGGGAACUGCAUUUGUGACUGUAUGGCUAGAGUACGGCAGAGGGGGAUGGAAUUCCGCGUGUAGCAGUGAAAUGCGUAGAUAUGCGGAGGAACACCGAUGGCGAAGGCAAUCCCCUGGGCCUGUACUGACGCUCAUGCACGAAAGCGUGGGGAGCAAACA